Molecule: unclassified non-coding RNA, 312 nt
Filed under: plant metagenome
Description: partial contains 5.8S ribosomal RNA, internal transcribed spacer 2, and large subunit ribosomal RNA
Rfam family: 5.8S ribosomal RNA (bases 1-105)
Source: RNAcentral
GAAAUGCGAUAAGUAAUGUGAAUUGCAGAAUUCCGUGAAUCAUCGAAUCUUUGAACGCACAUUGCGCCCUCUGGCAUUCCGGGGGGCAUGCCUGUCCGAGCGUCAUUACGCACCCUCAAGCCCGGCUUGUGUGAUGGGCCACGGCGUCUCGUUCGCGAGACGGGCCCGAAAGGCAGCGGCGGCGUCGACCCGAUGAGCCCGAGCGUAUGGGGACUUCUGUCACACGUUCGCGGUGCGGACCGGCGCCUGCUUGACUUUUCUGAUUAUCCAGGUUGACCUCGGAUCAGGUAGGGAUACCCGCUGAACUUAAGC